ACCCAGUGCUUACGGUAGAGCAUCAGACUUUUAAUCUGAGGGUCCAGGGUUCAAGUCCCUGCUCGGGUG
Molecule: transfer RNA, 69 nt
Filed under: Ornithorhynchus anatinus (platypus)
Lineage: Eukaryota; Metazoa; Chordata; Mammalia; Monotremata; Ornithorhynchidae
Rfam family: tRNA
About the family: Transfer RNA (tRNA) molecules are approximately 80 nucleotides in length. Their secondary structure includes four short double-helical elements and three loops (D, anti-codon, and T loops).
Source: Rfam by way of RNAcentral